This 694-nucleotide ribosomal RNA is filed under the name Shigella dysenteriae. RNAcentral describes it as "bacterial LSU rRNA". It matches the Rfam family "Bacterial large subunit ribosomal RNA", at positions 823 to 1518 of the family's 2925-position model. The record is from RNAcentral. Lineage: Bacteria; Pseudomonadati; Pseudomonadota; Gammaproteobacteria; Enterobacterales; Enterobacteriaceae.
GAAAGGCCAAUCAAACCGGGAGAUAGCUGGUUCUCCCCGAAAGCUAUUUAGGUAGCGCCUCGUGAAUUCAUCUCCGGGGGUAGAGCACUGUUUCGGCAAGGGGGUCAUCCCGACUUACCAACCCGAUGCAAACUGCGAAUACCGGAGAAUGUUAUCACGGGAGACACACGGCGGGUGCUAACGUCCGUCGUGAAGAGGGAAACAACCCAGACCGCCAGCUAAGGUCCCAAAGUCAUGGUUAAGUGGGAAACGAUGUGGGAAGGCCCAGACAGCCAGGAUGUUGGCUUAGAAGCAGCCAUCAUUUAAAGAAAGCGUAAUAGCUCACUGGUCGAGUCGGCCUGCGCGGAAGAUGUAACGGGGCUAAACCAUGCACCGAAGCUGCGGCAGCGACGCUGAUGCGUUGUUGGGUAGGGGAGCGUUCUGUAAGCCUGUGAAGGUGUGCUGUGAGGCAUGCUGGAGGUAUCAGAAGUGCGAAUGCUGACAUAAGUAACGAUAAAGCGGGUGAAAAGCCCGCUCGCCGGAAGACCAAGGGUUCCUGUCCAACGUUAAUCGGGGCAGGGUGAGUCGACCCCUAAGGCGAGGCCGAAAGGCGUAGUCGAUGGGAAACAGGUUAAUAUUCCUGUACUUGGUGUUACUGCGAAGGGGGGACGGAGAAGGCUAUGUUGGCCGGGCGACGGUUGUCCCGGUUUAAGCG